This 253-nucleotide ribosomal RNA is filed under the name uncultured bacterium. Its description in RNAcentral is "partial 16S ribosomal RNA". It matches the Rfam family "Bacterial small subunit ribosomal RNA", at positions 524 to 776 of the family's 1533-position model. The record is from RNAcentral.
UACGAAGGGGGCUAGCGUUGUUCGGAUUUACUGGGCGUAAAGCGCGUGUAGGCGGGUCGUUAAGUUGGGGGUGAAAUCCCGAGGCUCAACCUCGGAACUGCCUUCAAAACUGGCGACCUGGACCCAAGUAGAGGCAAGUGGAAUUGCGAGUGUAGAGGUGAAAUUCGUAGAUAUUCGCAGGAACACCAGUGGCGAAGGCGACUUGCUGGACUUGUGGUGACGCUGAGACGCGAAAGCGUGGGGAGCAAACAGG